AAAAAGGCUCUUUUCACAGCCACACACUUUCUGCAAUGAGUUGUGU
Stegodyphus mimosarum is the source of this 46-nucleotide non-coding RNA. Lineage: Eukaryota; Metazoa; Arthropoda; Arachnida; Araneae; Eresidae. The record is from Rfam.